This 337-nucleotide ribosomal RNA is filed under the name uncultured Xanthobacter sp. RNAcentral's name for it is "bacterial SSU rRNA". It matches the Rfam family "Bacterial small subunit ribosomal RNA", at positions 1041 to 1382 of the family's 1533-position model. Lineage: Bacteria; Pseudomonadati; Pseudomonadota; Alphaproteobacteria; Hyphomicrobiales; Xanthobacteraceae. The record is from RNAcentral.
CUGCAUGGCUGUCGUCAGCUCGUGUCGUGAGAUGUGGGUUAAGUCCCGCAACGAGCGCAACCUCGCCUUUAGUGCCAUCAUUCAGUUGGGCACUCUAAAGGGACUGCCGGUGAUAAGCCGCGAGGAAGGUGGGGAUGACGUCAAGUCCUCAUGGCCCUUACGGGCUGGGCUACACACGUGCUACAAUGGCGGUGACAGUGGGAUGCAAAGGGGCGACCCCUCGCAAAUCUCAAAAAGCCGUCUCAGUUCGGAUUGUACUCUGCAACUCGAGUGCAUGAAGUUGGAAUCGCUAGUAAUCGUGGAUCAGCAUGCCACGGUGAAUACGUUCCCGGGCCUU